AGUGAACGCUGGCGGUAGGCCUAACACAUGCAAGUCGAACGGCAGCACAGUAAGAUCUUGCUCUUACGGGUGGCGAGUGGCGGACGGGUGAGGAAUACAUCGUAAUCUACUUUUUCGUGGGGGAUAACGUAGGGAAACUUACGCUAAUACCGCAUACGACCUACGGGUGAAAGCAGGGGAUCUUCGGACCUUGCGCGAUUGAAUGAGCCGAUGUCGGAUUAGCUAGUUGGCGGGGUAAAGGCCCACCAAGGCGACGAUCCGUAGCUGGUCUGAGAGGAUGAUCAGCCACACUGGAACUGAGACACGGUCCAGACUCCUACGGGAGGCAGCAGUGGGGAAUAUUGGACAAUGGGCGCAAGCCUGAUCCAGCCAUACCGCGUGGGUGACGAAGGCCUUCGGGUUGUAAAGCCCUUUUGUUGGGAAAGAAAAGCAGCAGGUUAAUACCCCGCUGUUCUGACGGUACCCAAAGAAUAAGCACCGGCUAACUUCGUG
This 492-nucleotide ribosomal RNA is filed under the name uncultured bacterium. RNAcentral's name for it is "partial 16S ribosomal RNA". It matches the Rfam family "Bacterial small subunit ribosomal RNA", at positions 29 to 507 of the family's 1533-position model. The record is from RNAcentral.